UGGCAUCUGUUUGAUGUUUGUGAGUUGGGA
This 30-nucleotide non-coding RNA is filed under the name Mus musculus (house mouse). Lineage: Eukaryota; Metazoa; Chordata; Mammalia; Rodentia; Muridae. The record is from RNAcentral.